GAUGGCAAAGGCUCUGUCCCCCAAAAUGCAGUUCUUGGUCUUAGUGGAUAUUGGCAUUGGUGAUCUGAGACAGCGAGAUGGGGAGUGGCGUUUGAGGAGGUCGGUCAGACAGGUGAAGAGAGACAGGAAAUGUGGGGAUCAGACAGCGGGGGGAAGGCAUGCAGCAAAUGGUUGGGGCCAGGAGUCGAAACAUCGACUGCUGCAAGAAGGACUAUAGCCUCUAUACAUGGACAGCACUCUUAAACCGUUAGUACCAACGGAGCAGAAGUUGCUCAGUAUUCCCUCUGCUGAGAGGGAGAUGACGCCGUGUUGAGACUCAGACGGAUCAAUGAGACUCCCAUAAGAGGAGUGGGCACUCGCUUCUCUCAGCUGCAAGACCGAUCGCCUUAUUAGCACCUGCCUCUGAAAUACCAAGGGUGUUCUAAUGCCCCCUCUUCAUCAAACCACACAAUAAAAUGAAGAUCCCUGUUGUCUCCAAUUAA
Molecule: long non-coding RNA, 482 nt
Organism: Notolabrus celidotus (New Zealand spotty)
Lineage: Eukaryota; Metazoa; Chordata; Actinopteri; Labriformes; Labridae
Exons: 3
Source: RefSeq, a predicted model, not a curated record